Molecule: long non-coding RNA, 654 nt
Organism: Rosa rugosa (rugosa rose)
Lineage: Eukaryota; Viridiplantae; Streptophyta; Magnoliopsida; Rosales; Rosaceae
Exons: 5
Source: RefSeq, a predicted model, not a curated record
GUCAGGGCGCACGAUCGGAGACCGGAGGCAACGUGGGAGAUAUGGCUCCAUCACUAUUCACCCGUCUCUCAGUUUACGGUUCAUGGGGAAGCAAAUGAACCAAACAGAACUAUGUUUCUCUAUUGAUUAGGUGCAGAGCCUGUGAGAUUGUAGUACGUUUAAGUUCUUUGGCUUUUGUUCCUGACUAUGAGAAGUAAAGCAAGAUAUAUAUUUCUUGCAGAAGUAUAAAGACAACAGUGUGCACUAGGGAUAUUGAGAAUAUUUUAUAUGUGGGGAGAUGGGCAUGCCAAGCUGUAGGAAUAUAAUAUAGUAACACAUAGAAACACACCCGUCUACCAAACUCUCUCAAACCAUUUUGGAGCGAGGACUAGGAUUAUUGUGGAAAGCAGUUGACUGAAAGGCAAGAGAGAAAAGAAGAUAAGUGAAGUAGGAGGGGACUGUUGGAGUUUAGAGAUGAUGGGAAUGUGAUUCAGAUUCCUGUGCUCUUACGGGAAUUAGUCCAAUCAUAGACCUAUAAUAACUCAGCCAGCGCUUCAAGUAUUUAUGCAAGUAAUUCCCCACAUUCAUUUUUGUGUGCUGUCUGAAAGUAAAAUAUGAUUACCAUAUCAGGAUUGCUCUAUUGAGAUACUAUAUUUGGACACUGUUCUAUGUGAA